Molecule: unclassified non-coding RNA, 369 nt
Filed under: uncultured bacterium
Lineage: Bacteria
Description: contains 16S-23S intergenic spacer region
Rfam family: 5.8S ribosomal RNA (bases 1-125)
Source: RNAcentral
GCAUCGAUGAAGAACGCAGCGAAACGCGAUAUGUAGUGUGAAUUGCAGAAUUCAGUGAAUCAUCGAAUCUUUGAACGCACAUUGCGCCUUCCAGUAUCCUGGGAGGCAUGCCUGUCCGAGCGUCGUUUCAACCCUCGAGCCCACGUGGCCCGGUGUUGGGGACGCUGCCCAGCUACCUGGGCAGCCCCCCUAAAUGCAGUGGCGGUCCCGCAAGUCCCAGCCCUUUGCGUAGUAAUAUCAUUCUCGCUCUGGACGGCUCGCGGGCUUACCAGCCUCGAAACCCCCUACAAAGACCGCCCCGGCGGCAACGGUUGACCUCGGAUCAGGUAGGAAUACCCGCUGAACUUAAGCAUAUCAAUAAGCGGAGGA